UAUGUGAUCGUCUCUCGCAUAUCAAUAAGCGGAGGAAAAGAAACUAACAAGGAUCCCCCUAGUAACGGCGAGUGAAGCGGGAAGAGCUCAAAUUUGAAAUCUUAAAGGGUUUCCCUUUACGAAUUGUAGUUUAAAGAAGUGUUUUCUGUUGAGGUUUCGGUAAAAGUUCUUUGGAAUAGGACAUCAUAGAGGGUGAGAAUCCCGUAUUUGACCUUUACUUUCAACUUUGUGAUACACUUUCAAAGAGUCGGAUUGUUUGGGAAUGCAGUCCAAAAUGGGUGGUAAAUUUCAUCUAAAGCUAAAUAUUGGCGAGAGACCGAUAGCGAACAAGUACCGUGAGGGAAAGAUGAAAAGAACUUUGAAAAGAGAGUUAAACAGUACGUGAAAUUGUCAAAAGGGAAGCGUUUGACACCAGUGUUGUUUUUCUGAAAAUCAAUUAAAGAACUGUUUAUGCUAAGCUGUUUAGACUUUAUCAGCUAACUGUUUAGUUUUGAGCUUUUCUUUAAUGCACUUUUCAGUUAACAAGUCAACAUCAAUUUCUUUUGCUGUAAAAAAGCUUGAGGAAGGUGGCUUGAGAUUCGUCUUAAGUGUUUAUAGCCUCUUGCCUAUGCAGUCGGAGAGAUUGAGGUCUGCAGCGUAGAUCCUUCGGGGCUAAAUGCAUUUGUGCUAAGUUAUAGCAUUUUAUAGACAACUUGUUGACUAUGAUUUGUCUUGUAGCUUACUCGCUUAUGUUAUUUUACCUACGCUUAGGAUGUUGACACACGCGCGUGCUCG
Molecule: ribosomal RNA, 774 nt
Filed under: uncultured Neocallimastigales
Lineage: Eukaryota; Fungi; Neocallimastigomycota; Neocallimastigomycetes; Neocallimastigales
Description: partial large subunit ribosomal RNA
Rfam family: Eukaryotic large subunit ribosomal RNA
Source: RNAcentral